This 413-nucleotide transfer-messenger RNA is filed under the name Mycoplasmoidaceae. RNAcentral describes it as "Mycoplasmoides sp024339025 Standard tmRNA". It matches the Rfam family "transfer-messenger RNA". From Rfam's summary of the family: Bacterial tmRNA, also known as 10Sa RNA or SsrA, is named for its dual tRNA and mRNA-like properties. Its role is to liberate the mRNA from a stalled ribosome. To accomplish this part of the tmRNA is used as a reading frame that ends in a translation stop signal. Lineage: Bacteria; Bacillati; Mycoplasmatota; Mycoplasmoidales. RNAcentral also lists the same sequence under 1 other name. The record is from RNAcentral.
GGGGAUGUCAAGGCUUCGACAUGAUUGAUAAACUUAUUGGUUCAGUAGGGUCUGCCCUUUAUAGCUCAAGGUAAAAAUAACCGACAAAACAUCUAAACAACUAGCUGAAGAAAACUUUGUUUUAAAUCAGUUAGGAAACAACUACGCUUUAAAUUUCUAAAUAAAUAAUAUAUAAAAAGCGGGCUUAAUUUUCUUAUAGAAAAUUAAUGCUAAUUCGGAUAAAACUAAAUUUUGUUCUUGUUUGAAGUUUUACUUAUUAAUAUUGAUUAAUAAGUUUUAUAUUAAGCAAUUACUACGAACUAAAUAAUUGAAGUUUAUAACUUAGUUCUAAAAAACUAAACUUCUAAACUGUAAAUAAAACUAAUCUGAUGAGUCGAUUGUGGAAACGGGUUCGAUUCCCGUCAUCUCCACCA